AGAGUUUGAUCCUGGCUCAGAUUGAACGCUGGCGGCAUGCCUUACACAUGCAAGUCGAACGGCAGCACGGGGGCAACCCUGGUGGCGAGUGGCGAACGGGUGAGUAACAUAUCGGAACAUACCCUAGAGUGGGGGAUAACGUAGCGAAAGUUACGCUAAUACCGCAUACGAUCUAAGGAUGAAAGUGGGGGAUCUUCGGACCUCAUGCUCAUGGAGUGGCCGAUAUCUGAUUAGCUAGUUGGUGAGGUAAAGGCUCACCAAGGCGACGAUCAGUAGCUGGUUUGAGAGAACGACCAGCCACACUGGAACUGAGACACGGUCCAGACUCCUACGGGAGGCAGCAGUGGGGAAUUUUGGACAAUGGGGGCAACCCUGAUCCAGCAAUGCCGCGUGAGUGAAGAAGGCCUUCGGGUUGUAAAGCUCUUUUGUCAGGGAAGAAACGGUGAGUUCUAAUACAGCUUGCUAAUGACGGUACCUGAAGAAUAAGCACCGGCUAACUACGUGCCAGCAGCCGCGGUAAUACGUAGGGUGCAAGCGUUAAUCGGAAUUACUGGGCGUAAAGCGUGCGCAGACGGUUAUAUAAGUCAGAUGUGAAAUCCCUGGGCUCAACCUAGGAACUGCAUUUGAGACUGUAUGGCUAGAGUGUGUCAGAGGGGGGUAGAAUUCCACGUGUAGCAGUGAAAUGCGUAGAGAUGUGGAGGAAUACCGAUGGCGAAGGCAGCCCCCUGGGAUAACACUGACGCUCAUGCACGAAAGCGUGGGGAGCAAACAGGAUUAGAUACCCUGGUAGUCCACGCCCU
RNAcentral lists this ribosomal RNA (800 nucleotides) under uncultured bacterium. RNAcentral describes it as "bacterial SSU rRNA". It matches the Rfam family "Bacterial small subunit ribosomal RNA", at positions 8 to 803 of the family's 1533-position model. The record is from RNAcentral.